Molecule: long non-coding RNA, 1375 nt
Organism: Mercurialis annua (annual mercury)
Lineage: Eukaryota; Viridiplantae; Streptophyta; Magnoliopsida; Malpighiales; Euphorbiaceae
Exons: 2
Source: RefSeq, a predicted model, not a curated record
GUGAACAUUCAAAUGAGCGAAGUUGCUCUUAUUCCGGCUGAGGCUAUUCAACUUGUUAUGGUAGAUGCUGAAGCUGUUGAGGUGCUUGCUCCCCCUAACUUUGGCGGUUCCUUUAGGAGAAACUGUUGAUGUUAUAAUCAACGACUAGGAACCGGUUGUUGACGAGGUUCCAAGUUCUUUAAAGGGUGUUCACCCUUCUUUGAGUGUCGAGCCCCUUACUUCGGGCGCUGAUGUCCUUGUUUUUGACGAAGACGAAUCCCAAAACAGGAAGAGACGUCGACUAGCUUAGGGAAGCGGUCUUUGAGGAACCUCCUUCAGAAUAUUUGGAUGUUGUUUCGAAGCUAGCUGAUUAGGCCGAGCGACAGGAGAGACCGAGUCUAUUGAAUCCCAUUGUUCUAACGGAGUAUAUUAAAAGUCUAACUAUUCCUGAAGAUAUCGAUUGGUUUGACGAGAAGGCUGGUGCUAAUUUGUCAAACUUUGCUUGUCUUCAUGGCUUAUCGACUAUUCAGGAGAUCUUGGUUUUAAAUGACCAUCGCCAGUUUGCCGAGGGAGAAGUCCAACGGCUAGGUAAUUUAUUGGCUGAGGCGGAAUCUGGGAAGGCGAGGCUAAAAGGAUCCCUUGAAGAGUAUGACUCGCUGCUCCUGAAGCUGAAGGCUCAAAAUGCCAUUCAUGACCGCUAAGUGAUGCUCAUCGAGAAGAAGACUGCCGAUUUAAUGCAAGAAAUCGAAGCCCUUAUCUCGACAAACACUCACGUUGGUGGUGAAAGAGAUAAGUUGAAGACUGAAGUGGAAAAACUUCAUGUUCGCUGAUAGGAGUAUUUUACUCCUAUUUAGAGUGUCGUUUCCGCAUGCUUUUAUUAUGUUUUGUCAUGUUUUUAUGGUAUUCCGAAUGCCUUAUUGCAUGUUUUAGUAUUUCAGAUACUUGGGAGCAUUGCGGAAGCAUUUUGGUGCAAAAGAUGGAAAAGUCGACGAAAGAGAGGCGAAAGCUCAUUUGCAAUUCUGAAAAGCUGACCCCUCUGCACUAUUUGACCAAUUUGGAUCGGUUAAAGGUCUCUAAUGAGUUUGUGUUCUUCAUAAGAGUUAAAGUAGACAUCCUAAGCUUUCCAACGGUUUAAGAACCAACUCAUGUGGACAUUUCUACACCGAGUUAUGAAGUUUUGAAGUUCAAGGUUAUGGAGUCUGAGGGUUGCACGAAUCGUGCAACACCUUGCACGAAUCAUGCAUAAGUAGAGCAGAAGCAGAUUGUUCCCAGAGAUAUUGCACGAUCCGUGCACCCAUGUUAAGUUGGUUUGCACGAUUCGUGCAAAGGCUUAAAGUUAGAAUCGAAAAUCUGAAGAAAAGGACAAGGCUUAUGCACACUUUCUCUUUUGGCCCAA